CAGUCGAACGAGAGACCUUCGGGUCUCUAGUGGCGAACGGGUGAGUAACACCUUUGGAACCUGCCCGCGCACCGGGAAUACGCUCUGGAAACGGAGAACAAAUCCCGAUGUACAGGAAGGAGGCAUCUUCUUUCUGUGAAACAUCCUUUCGGGGAUGGGGCGCGGAUGGACCUGCGGUGCAUUAGUUUGUUGGCGGGGUAAAGGUCCACCAAGACGAUGAUGCAUAGCCGGCCUGAGAGGGCGGACGGCCACAUUGGGACUGAGACACGGCCCAGACUCCUGCGGGAGGCAGCAGUAGGGAAUUUUCGUCAAUGGGCGCAAGCCUGAACGAGCGAUGCCGCGUGAGUGAAGAAGGCCUUCGGGUCGUAAAGCUCUGUUGCGGGGGAAAAAAGGCAGCAUCAGGAAAUGGGUGCUGACUGAUGGUGCCCCGCCAGAAAGUCACGGCUAACUACGUGCCAGCAGCCGCGGUAAUACGUAGGUGGCGAGCGUUAUCCGGAAUGAUUGGGCGUAAAGGGUGCGCAGGCGGUCCUGCAAGUCUGGAGUGAAACGCAUGAGCUCAACUCAUGCAUGGCUUUGGAAACUGGAGGACUGGAGAGCAGGAGAGGGCGGUGGAACUCCAUGUGUAGCGGUAAAAUGCGUAGAUAUAUGGAAGAACACCAGUGGCGAAGGCGGCCACCUGGCCUGUUGCUGACGCUGAGGCACGAAAGCGUGGGGAGCAAAUAGGAUUAGAUACCCUAGUAGUCCACGCCGUANACGAUGAGGACCAAGUGUUGGGGGNGAAACCUCAGUGCUGAAGUUAACGCAGUGAGUCCUCCGCCUGGGGAGUAUGCACGCAAGUGU
Molecule: ribosomal RNA, 840 nt
Filed under: uncultured bacterium
Lineage: Bacteria
Description: bacterial SSU rRNA
Rfam family: Bacterial small subunit ribosomal RNA
Source: RNAcentral